This 396-nucleotide long non-coding RNA is filed under the name Carica papaya (papaya). RNAcentral's name for it is "long non-coding RNA (CPAP_LNC010234)". Lineage: Eukaryota; Viridiplantae; Streptophyta; Magnoliopsida; Brassicales; Caricaceae. The record is from RNAcentral.
GUGAGGGAAGUUGAUGGAAUUUGGGAAUUUUUUCUAGAGCAAAGUUUACCCAAAUUGUGAGAGAAAGAGAGAGGAAGCAAGAAGGAAAGGAGAAAAAUAAAGAAAAAAGAGAAAAGGAGAGCGAAAUCUCACAACCAACCAAAGGAGAACACACAAGCUUAAGGUGAGUUUUCUCUUUCAUUUUAAAGGCAUUUCUCUUAAAAUUUUGAGGAUGAUUUUUUAGUGAUAUGAGUAGUAUUUUUUAGGUUAGAUAUUGCACAACAACAUCCUGGAACUCUGUCGGAUUUUCAAUAGAAUAAGCUUAGGAAUUUAGUCAAAACUCUACAGCUGUUAAAGCAACAUGUCCUAUAAGGUGUGUAGUUUAAAGUUUCUUUUCAAGGGAAUUAAUUUACCUAU